CCCCUACCCGGAUGUUCAUAGCCCUUUGUUGUCCGACUCUGUUGCCUCCGGGGCGACCCUGCCUUCGGGCGGGGGCUCCGGGUGGACACUUCAAACUCUUGCGUAACUUUGCAGUCUGAGUAAACUUAAUUAAUAAAUUA
This 140-nucleotide unclassified non-coding RNA is filed under the name soil metagenome. Its description in RNAcentral is "partial internal transcribed spacer 1". The record is from RNAcentral.